Penaeus monodon (black tiger shrimp) is the source of this 3949-nucleotide RNA transcript. It is a transcript of the gene named arginine and glutamate-rich protein 1-like, with no coding region annotated. The transcript has 4 exons. The record is from RefSeq and is a predicted model, not a curated record. Lineage: Eukaryota; Metazoa; Arthropoda; Malacostraca; Decapoda; Penaeidae.
CGAAAACCAUAGGUUGUUUAGCAGCAAAUGGCGAACCCGAGAUAACAUUACCUACGGCAACCUCUCGAAAUCCGCUCUCGUUCGGCUCACGCAUCUUCUCUAGCACUCCCCUCCACGCCAGCACCCGCGAGAGAUCCCCCUCGGCGGCGAUGGGCAGGUCGAGAUCGAGGAGCAGAUCGCCCAAGAGGCACAAGAGCAAGAGAUCCCACAAGAGACGUUCUCGCUCGAGGGACAGGGAGAGGCGGAGGCACAGGGACCGAGAGCGAUCCAAGGAGCGGGCGGCCAAGGCGAGUCGCAAACCAUCAAGAUCAUCAUCUUCAUCAUCAAGCAGUGAUGAAGAACCUAGAACGAGAGAGAAAAAGAUUGAUGAGGUGGACAGAUUGGCUGAAUUGGAGAGAGUUAGGAGACAGAGGGAGGCUGAACAAAAAAUGGUUGAAGAAGUAGCAGCCAAAAGGUUGGAGGAGUUAGUAGCUCGGAGAGUAGAGGAGGAGCUAGAACGAAGGAGGGAUGAGAUAGAAGCUGAAGUUUUAAGGAGAGUAGAGGAGGCCAAGCGCCUCAUGGAACAACAGAUGCUCGAAGAGCUUCAGGAAAAGCGCCGGCAGCAGGAGGAGGAUCAAAAGAAGCGAGAGGUAGAGCUUUGUGAAUUGUGCUUCAGUGGGAUAUUUUGCUGGAUUUGUCAAGCCUUGGGCACAGGAGCUCUGUUGUGUAUUCUGAUAGGGAGGGGUGGGUGGGGGUUUCAAGCAAAGGAGAAUAAAUUUGGGUUAGAUGAAAGGAGAAGGGAGGUCGCUAGAGAAGGAAAGGUGGGCAAGAGAUGUCCGGGAUUAUACCAAAGAGCAUCCCAGGUGACUCCAAAAGGGCAGGCUAGGAAUGGGCUCCAUAUGGUCAGGGAAAAUCUCCGUUUUAUCAUUAUUUUAUUUAUUUUUAAUAAAACUAGAUGCUAAAGAAAGGAAAUAUCCUGAAAGUAGAUGAACCAAAAAGAAUGUGGUCAUUGGCUGUCUGUGCCAUUCCACACAUCAAGGAGGAGGGGCUUUCAGUGAACUUAAGAGUUAGAUUUUGCUGCAUGUGGACUCUAAGCUGAUAGGAAGAAAAGCCACAAAGAAAAAAAAAAUUGAUUUAGCCUAUUCAAUCGUCACUAAUUCAAAUUAUUAGGUAAAACUACUGUAUAAUGAGGAUAAUAGAACAAUAAAUUUCCAUUUUGCAUGAAGACUAACUCACACUCUUUCAGCUGAACUUUCUGUGUUUUGAAAGUGAAAUGUGAAUUUGAGGCAAUAAAGUUUCCCAGAGACAUGAUGUACAAACUUUGUAAACUCUGGUAUGUGUUGCAGUUUGACCACAUUGCCCCAGACAGUUUGUUGAAUGCAGGAGUGAAAGGAAUCUGCCUUUAAUCUCUGUCUCCAACUUUAUUUAUCGUCUGGCAAAUAUGUAUAUCCCUGUACAUUUUUUUAUAUAAAUUUUUGUUUUUUUGUUUUUUUGUUUUUGUUUUUCUUUUUUGUUUCUUUCAUAUUCCCCAAUACAUAUGUGCAUGUGUGUGAGUGUGUGUGCAAAUGAGAGUGUAAUCAGUUCAUUCUUAACUGUCUGGAAACACACGAACAUAGCAGUGUGGCAAUGAGGCAUUUUAGUGGUGAAUCACUCUAAACAGAAUAGACAUAUUAUUGGCGGCUUGCAACCAAGAAUUGUCAGCUGCGGAUUUUAGGCCAGAGCUGUUCUAGGAGUGGAUUUGGCGGCAUCCAUAUGGUAACUAUAUACAGGUAUAGUGAUUUUUAUAAUGGAUGCAUCUUAAAUCCAUUAAGCAGGUAAGAUUUCCAUUUUUGACGUGUCUUUGGAUGACACAGAUGAUGUCGCACUUGAGUAGCUCACAUUUUGUUAUGUAAAUGAUUGCUGUACUGUACUAGAUUUAUAAAGCAGUGGGAAGCUUGCCAUUUUAAUGGGUUUAGUUGUAUCUUAAAUCUUUCAGCAAAGGCUCAAAAUUUAUCUUAAUAAGUAAAGUGAGAUUGUAUUGCCUUUUCUGUGAGAUCACUUGUGUCUGUGUCUUAGUGUUCUCAGUAAGCAUGUUGUCCUAUACAUUGGUCACAUCUUUUUUUUUAAUUUUCACCUGUAACUCAACAUGCUUGCUACUAGAAAAAUUUAACUCUGAAUUAAGUACUAUUUUUAAAGUCUGUAUUGUCAUAUACUAUACCCUUGCUUUUGUACCCAAUGUUACUAUUGAUGUUUGACAUGAAUUGUACUUUAUUUAUUCAAGUGGUUCUCUGCCAGUUGCCUGUAACCUCCCACUUUGAUAUGCCACAUACAUGAAAAUCCAUAUCUCCAUUGUGCUACAUAAAAAGAAAGUCUUUUAAAACGCUGAUUAAUAUUUUUGAAUAGCUGUAGGCAGUUUUCACUUUUAUCUAGGUUUCUACAUGAGUUUUUACAUUUAUGAUUGAUAAUGUGAUUUUUUAGCAAAACUUACUUUGAUAAAAGAAAAAAAAAUCAUUGAUAUUACUUGGGUUGAAAGAGUGAAGAGGCUUCUGGCAACUGGCUUUUUAAAAAAAUUUUGACUUGACCUCACCUGAUGCGUAUUUGACGCCUCAUUCUACUUUCUAGGAGGAGGAACGUAAACAGCGGGAGGAACUGGAGCGAAUUAUGGAAGAGAACAAAAGAAAAAUAGAGAUUGCCCAGAUGAAAUUGGCUGAGCAGCAGCUACAAAUGGUGGAGGAGCAGCGAAAGAUUGAUGAGGAGCGGCAGAAAAUCAAGAGGGAGCAGGAAAAGCGGACACGUGAGGAGCAAAAGAUCAUCCUUGGGAAGAACAAUGCGCGGCCCAAGAUCUCCUUCUCUAUCUAAAGCUAGAUACCCACAUGCAUGGGGUCUUUUAUGUUGUAGGUCCACACUCUUUCAUAUGAUUUCAAUUUGUUUUUGUUUUGUUUUUUAUUUCUAUUUUUUUAUUUUUUAUUUAUUUAUCAUUAUUUUUUUUCCUUAGUCAUUAUUACUAUCAUAUACUUUAUCUCUUUUUCGUAUUUUGUUUUUUACAGGAUAUGUUUCUGCUAUGCAUGAGUGUGAUUGACUUAACUGAUAAGGGUGUGGAGAGCCACACACUUUGUGAUUGCAUGAACCCUUGGUUUUAUUUAUUGUUGGUGUUAUUAUUAUUAUUAUUAUUAUUAUUAUUAUUAAUCAUCACUAUUACUAUCACUUACUGUUAUUAUUAUGAAGAUAAUUACUGUUAUCAUUAUCAUUUUCAUUAUUGCUUAUUUUUUUAUUAUUAUUAUUACUUUAGUAUUGAUUUAUUUGUGCUCUUUCAGUGAUGCUCAUCUCUUGUUUUUAGAAUAUGCAGUUGCACGAGUGUCUGGCUUUCCAUUAAACAUAGUAGAAAAUAAGCUAGUUAAGGGUCUUUCAGAACCUGGGUUCUUUUGAUGUCAAUGCCUACAAUGUGAGUGCUAAAUGUUACAACAAAAGUGGAAGUAGAAACUACUGCCCCAAAACCCCUACUUCUUUUGCUUUGAGUGAUUGAAGGCAAAAACUAAGCUAUAAUCUGCGAUUGUGUUAUAAUCGUAGCGGUGAAAGAUAACGGUGAGAGAAUAUAAUUCAGAGGGUAAUGAACACUACUAUAAGAAAACCCCCUGACAAUGGCUCAGGCCAGCACUCAGAGUAGCUAGGACUAAGGCUGCAUUAGGCAGUCUUGGUUCAUACUGAUGUAUUUCAGGCGCUUAUAGUAUAACUGUAUCCUAAUCAUCUGCAAAUCAUUUCAUAUGUCCUUCAUCCCAUGUUUGUAAAGUCAUGAUCUUUCACCCGAGUAAGUGUCUUGCCAUAGUGGCAGCAGACAUAAGAAAACAAUUGUAUAUAUAGCACAUGGAUCACAGAUCAUGUACAAAGUUGUACUUCUUUGGUUGGAGUAGAACUUCAGCUACUUUUCACCUGCACUGGUGAAGACUUCCUCAUCAGUCUUUAGAGAAUGGAAAUAAAUACCAUUUGUAUUGGA